Non-coding RNA from Caenorhabditis elegans, 21 nucleotides. The record is from Ensembl. Lineage: Eukaryota; Metazoa; Nematoda; Chromadorea; Rhabditida; Rhabditidae.
UGCACCGUUUUAGGGUUAACC